RNAcentral lists this ribosomal RNA (689 nucleotides) under Salmonella enterica. RNAcentral describes it as "partial 23S ribosomal RNA". It matches the Rfam family "Bacterial large subunit ribosomal RNA", at positions 554 to 1241 of the family's 2925-position model. Lineage: Bacteria; Pseudomonadati; Pseudomonadota; Gammaproteobacteria; Enterobacterales; Enterobacteriaceae. The record is from RNAcentral.
AACCGUGUACGUACAAGCAGUGGGAGCACAGGUUUACCUGUGUGACUGCGUACCUUUUGUAUAAUGGGUCAGCGACUUAUAUUCUGUAGCAAGGUUAACCGAAUAGGGGAGCCGGAGGGAAACCGAGUCUUAAUUGGGCGUUAAGUUGCAGGGUAUAGACCCGAAACCCGGUGAUCUAGCCAUGGGCAGGUUGAAGGUUGGGUAACACUAACUGGAGGACCGAACCGACUAAUGUUGAAAAAUUAGCGGAUGACCUGUGGCUGGGGGUGAAAGGCCAAUCAAACCGGGAGAUAGCUGGUUCUCCCCGAAAGCUAUUUAGGUAGCGCCUCGUGAAUUCAUCUCCGGGGGUAGAGCACUGUUUCGGCUAGGGGGCCAUCCCGGCUUACCAACCCGAUGCAAACUGCGAAUACCGGAGAAUGUUAUCACGGGAGACACACGGCGGGUGCUAACGUCCGUCGUGAAGAGGGAAACAACCCAGACCGCCAGCUAAGGUCCCAAAGUCAUGGUUAAGUGGGAAACGAUGUGGGAAGGCCCAGACAGCCAGGAUGUUGGCUUAGAAGCAGCCAUCAUUUAAAGAAAGCGUAAUAGCUCACUGGUCGAGUCGGCCUGCGCGGAAGAUGUAACGGGGCUAAACCAUGCACCGAAGCUGCGGCAGCGACGCUGAUGCGUUGUUGGGUAGGGGAGCGUUC